This is an RNA transcript of Peromyscus leucopus (white-footed mouse), 1460 nucleotides long. It is a transcript of the gene named zinc finger FYVE-type containing 19, with no coding region annotated. Lineage: Eukaryota; Metazoa; Chordata; Mammalia; Rodentia; Cricetidae. The record is from RefSeq and is a predicted model, not a curated record. The transcript has 8 exons.
GGGGUGGUGAGCGGAGAGAGUCAGAAUUCCCGCCGCGCUGGGCGGCGGCUGCAUGGCGCGGGUGGGCGUGUAGAGCUGGGCUGCGUAGGCUUGAGGGGCUGAUCGGCCUGCGCUGCGCUGGUGAGAGGCUGUCCUUCGGAUCUGUGGCGCCGGGUCGCCAUGGAGAGCAGGUGCUACGGCUGUGCUGUCAAGUUCACCCUCUUCAAGAAGGAGUACGGCUGUAAGAACUGCGGCCGGGCCUUCUGUAAUGGCUGUCUUAGCUUCAACGCUCUGGUACCUCGGGCUGGCAACACUCAACAGAAAGUCUGCAAGCAGUGCCACGCAGUCCUGACCAGAGGAUCUUCUGACAAUACCUCCAAGUGGUCGCCACCUCAGAACUACAAGAAGCGUGUGGCAGCCUUGGAAGCCAAGAAAAAGCCCAGCACUCUCCAGAGCCAGGGCCUAACGCCACAAGACCAAGCCAUCGCUGACCGCCUGGCGCGGCUCCGUCAGGAAAACAAGCCCAAGUCGGUGCCCUCCCAGGCGGAGAUAGAGGCGCGACUAGCCGCACUGAAGGGUGAAGUCCAGGGCUCCGUCCCUUCCACGGAGGAGAUGGAGAACCGGCUUGCAGCAUUACAGGGCAGAGGGCUGCCUUCUCAUACCGUGAGACCGGCACACCAGGCGCCAGACACCAGGACCCAGGCUCAGCAGACGCAGGAUCUGCUCACACAGCUGGCAGCUGAGGUGGCUAUUGAUGAAAGCCGGGAACGAAGAGUUCCAGUGGCCUCCCCCAGAAUGACCUCAACAAGGGAGGUGGAAGGAACCAGCACACAGAUUCCCAGGGGUGGGCCAGCCCAUCCCUGGAGAAGGAGAAGAGCAGGUUGCUGGCUGAGGCGGCGGUUGAGCUUCGGGAGGAGAACACGAGGCAGGAACGGUUCCUGGCUCUCGCCAAAAGAUUGGCUGUCCUUCAGGGACAGGACCCCGACAGAGGUAAAGGCUCAAGCCAGCCUCCUUAUCCGGGCCCCUGGCCAAGGCCUGUGCCACCCCAGACCACUCUCCCUGCCAGUGCUGACACAGGUACUGAGGGUCCCUGUGUGCCAAAGGAUCUGCCGUGCCCUGUGCAGAGCCAUGAGAUAUGACAGGGCAGAGCAGGGUUGAGGACUCGGAGGCAGCCGUAAGAGGCGGUGGGACCUUCAGUCUCUUCGGGUGCUAAUGCUUCUCUACUGCCCUGCGUGCUCAGGGCUGACGCUGGGAUAGGGAAGCAGCUUGGUUCUCAGCUCUGAAAUAGGCGCCCCCAGGGAAGCAACAGUUCCAGAAGGCAGGACAGCCGUGUGGUGAGGCCUCUCCCUCACUCCUUCCUCUGUUCCCGCCCCUCAUUCAAGUGACCCUCCAGGACUAUCACCUGCCAGACAGUGAGGAGGAGGAGGACGAAGAGACGGCCAUCCAGAGAGUCCUGAAGCAGCUCACUGAAGAAGCUGCCC